CGGACGGGUGAGUAACGCGUGGGUAACCUGCCUUGUACAGGGGGAUAACAGUUGGAAACGGCUGCUAAUACCGCAUAAGCGCACGGCAUCGCAUGAUGCAGUGUGAAAAACUCCGGUGGUAUAAGAUGGACCCGCGUUGGAUUAGCUAGUUGGUGAGGUAACGGCCCACCAAGGCGACGAUCCAUAGCCGACCUGAGAGGGUGACCGGCCACAUUGGGACUGAGACACGGCCCAA
RNAcentral lists this ribosomal RNA (235 nucleotides) under uncultured bacterium. RNAcentral describes it as "partial 16S ribosomal RNA". It matches the Rfam family "Bacterial small subunit ribosomal RNA", at positions 99 to 334 of the family's 1533-position model. The record is from RNAcentral.